RNAcentral lists this small nuclear RNA (107 nucleotides) under Carlito syrichta (Philippine tarsier). Lineage: Eukaryota; Metazoa; Chordata; Mammalia; Primates; Tarsiidae. The record is from RNAcentral.
GUGCUUGCUUCAGCAGCACAUAUACUAAAAUUGGAAGGAUACAGGGAAGAUUAGUAUGGCCUCUGUGCAAGGAUGACACGCAAAUUUGAGGAGAGUUCCAUCUUUUC